RNAcentral lists this ribosomal RNA (792 nucleotides) under uncultured bacterium. RNAcentral's name for it is "bacterial SSU rRNA". It matches the Rfam family "Bacterial small subunit ribosomal RNA", at positions 10 to 798 of the family's 1533-position model. The record is from RNAcentral.
AGUUUGAUCCUGGCUCACCCAUGAACGCUGGCGGCAUGCCUUACACAUGCAAGUCGAACGGCAGCACGGGAGCAAUCCUGGUGGCGAGUGGCGAACGGGUGAGUAAUAUAUCGGAACGUGCCCAGUCGUGGGGGAUAACGCAGCGAAAGCUGUGCUAAUACCGCAUACGAUCUACGGAUGAAAGCGGGGGAUCGCAAGACCUCGCGCGAUUGGAGCGGCCGAUAUCAGAUUAGCUAGUUGGUGAGGUAAAGGCUCACCAAGGCGACGAUCUGUAGCUGGUCUGAGAGGACGACCAGCCACACUGGAACUGAGACACGGUCCAGACUCCUACGGGAGGCAGCAGUGGGGAAUUUUGGACAAUGGGCGCAAGCCUGAUCCAGCAAUGCCGCGUGCAGGAUGAAGGCCUUCGGGUUGUAAACUGCUUUUGUACGGAGCGAAACGGUCUUUCCUAAUACGAGAGGCUAAUGACGGUACCGUAAGAAUAAGCACCGGCUAACUACGUGCCAGCAGCCGCGGUAAUACGUAGGGUGCGAGCGUUAAUCGGAAUUACUGGGCGUAAAGCGUGCGCAGGCGGUUAUAUAAGACAGAUGUGAAAUCCCCGGGCUCAACCUGGGACCUGCAUUUGUGACUGUAUAGCUAGAGUACGGUAGAGGGGGAAUGGAAUUCCGCGUGUAGCAGUGAAAUGCGUAGAUUUGCGGAGGAACACCGAUGGCGAAGGCAAUCCCCUGGACCUGUACUGACGCUCAUGCACGAAAGCGUGGGGAGCAAACGGAUUAAUCCCUGGUAUCCAUC